This 1773-nucleotide long non-coding RNA is filed under the name Helianthus annuus (common sunflower). RNAcentral's name for it is "hypothetical non coding rna". Lineage: Eukaryota; Viridiplantae; Streptophyta; Magnoliopsida; Asterales; Asteraceae. The record is from RNAcentral.
GUAUUUCAGGGUUAUCAAUCCUGCAGUUUAAGUAGGUUAUAAAUGGUUUCUUGCUGACAACCUCAAGAACGCAUAUCAGACUUCCCAGUAUCAUCAUCGCACUCCCUCAUUUGGCAUCCCAAAACUUGCAUCACAGAUAUCCUAUUUUCUUGAUUCUUGCUCCGAAUAAAACUGGGUUUCUUUUCGUUCUUCGGCAUCAUGGAUUCUUCUUCGGGAUCAGAAUUUGAUUAUUUGUUCAAGUUAUUGAUGAUUCGGGAUUCAUGCUUUGGUUGUUUAAUUUCGACGGCAGUAACCUGCGUAUAAUCUGCUGAUAUCUAGGUUUUGUUCAUACAUCGCUUACAAGGCAUGUUGUUUCUCACUUUCUCUUGAUGGACCAGUGGUGACUGCAUUAGGCUUUGGGGAUGAGCUUGGAGUUGUCACACACUCUUCUCCAUCCCUCCCUUUGAAUGAGCAAAUGCUAACGUUUGAUAUUCUUAACCUCCCUCAAAAGAGAACGAAGUAUAAAUACAAUAAACAAGUUUUUGACCAGAAAGCAAGUUCGAUGAUCGAAAAUAUGUUGGAUCUGGUGCUUGUCCAAAUCAUGGUGGGAUUCAAUUUGUCACAUAUGUAAUCAUGGUAUGUAUGUAUGUAUGUGUUGCUUGAAAAGCAGGUGAUGGACUAAUGAUCUCAAGGAUCGAGCGAGUCAAUGACAAUGAGGGUUGCCCUGUUUUGUUGGUUCGAACUGACCAACCUAAUUGAGGUGUUAUGUGUACAAAUCAUACUUUUUGUGUCACCAUUGUUGAUAUUACAACCUAAAGACAUUCGUUUUGUGACCACUUUCUUGGUUUCAUUUAGAAAAUUCGGGGGUGGAGCUAUAGUCGGUGUAGUUUUUAAAUAGCUUUAUUUAUUUUCUGUCUGUUGCAAAAUACACCACAUCAAACCAUAGUUACUGCUUGGCUCAAGUGGGUUCCACAGGAACCCGUGAAAACACCAGUGGAGUGAAACUUAAAUAAAAAUGGCAGAUGCAAUAGCAAUAGAUACAGGUUGCUUGGCGACUGCACCAGGCAAACUUUUUUCAUCCAUAGCAGGUACUUUUGAAAUUCUAUUAUUUUGACUGCAUGUUUUUAGCUAUUAAUUUAUUGCAUUUAUCUUCUCUUGCUACAUAGGAAUAGUAUUUUUUUGUUGCCAUUCCACUGUUCAUUAUGAUAAAACCACAAUUUUCCGUGUUACUAUUGUUGAUAUCACAAUCUGCAGACAUGACAUUUGUUUAGAUAAGGGUUGUUAAAUGGGGCAAUGGGGCAAAACUUGGAAAAUAUAGAUGGUAUGAAAAUGGGUCAAACAGGUUGAAACACACAAUAAGAAGAUGGUUGUUCUCUUAAUCUCUUGUCUUGUAAGAUUGAGGGAUCUCCAAUUGUGGGUGCAAAAAAUAAUUAAUUUGAUGGUGCGCGCUACUUUCAUAAUGGCAGUGUGAAUAUAAUGUUUAUACAACAAAUAAGAUAGAAUUUUGAUUUAUUAGGUCAAAUGAAAAUGCCAUUUUUGGUAUGAUAUCUAUAAUUUCAAGAUAAAUAUAACAAUUGGGACUUUAACAUAUGAGGAGAAGAAGCAACUGGCAUGAAAGAGAUGCAAAGAAGGCAAGGGAUGUCGAAUUAAAAAAAAAAAAAUCAUAUAUAAUGAAUUCACUUUGAGGUGUAUUUUUUUGUUGGAAUCAUAUGUAAGCUGACUUUAUUUUGUUUUAAAACAUUAAAAACUAGAUUGGAUCGGAAUGGAUAAAAUGAUAUGGAAUUCUACUCUUUA